Molecule: RNA transcript, 1750 nt
Organism: Asparagus officinalis (garden asparagus)
Lineage: Eukaryota; Viridiplantae; Streptophyta; Magnoliopsida; Asparagales; Asparagaceae
Gene name: zinc finger protein ZOP1
Exons: 10
Source: RefSeq, a predicted model, not a curated record
UCGAAACCGUGCGCUGUUUGACCCUUUUCCUUGGGAACUUGGAUCGGAUUCAUUGUCACCCUUAAAAUAUUUGCCCUAAAUUCUUGUUCUUGUACCAGUUAGCUCCAGUUUGUUUCAAUUGAAGCUUCGGAUUCUUUCAAACAUGACAGAGUAUUGGGUCAGUCAAGGAAAGAAAUGGUGUGAUUUCUGCAAGAUAUUUAUAGCCAACAAUCCCUUGAGCAUCAGAACCCAUGACUUAGGUCAGCGCCACAAGGAUAAUGUUGCCAAAAGGCUUACUUCUAUGCGAAAGGAAAGUGCUGCUAGGGAUAAGGAACAGAAGAAUGCAGCUCAGGCCCUAGAGCAAAUAGAAGAGAAAGCUAAACGUAGCUAUCAAAAAGAUUUAGCAUCAUUUGAAGCUGAUAAGUCUUCAGAAGCUCAUAAUAAAAGACCAGAGAGUUUUAAAUUUUCUGCCAGAGAUGGUUGGGAAUAUGAUGCUGCUUCUGGAUAUUAUUACAACCUGUCUAAAGGAUAUCACUAUGACCCUAACUCUGGCCUAUUUUAUUCCAGCGAUUUAGGCAAAUGGGUUACAGAAGGAGAGGCAUUCAAAACUUCUAAGGUUUCAAGACCAGAUACAGGCUCUUCGUCCGUAUCAAAAGGCGAAGGAUCUGCUUCUAAAGCCAAAGGUGGCCAGGCUCCUGGUUUGGUCAUCUCCACCUCUCUAAACACCACAAGAACUGCUAACGGUGCUGCUCCAUCAUCAAUUGCUGUUAACAAGAGAAAAAGGGUGAAUGAGAAGACCAAGGUCAUAUCAAAGGAGGAAGCUGAGGCUCUCAAGGCUAGAGAAGCUGCAAAGAAGAGAAUGGAAGAGAGGGAGAAGCCAUUGAUGGGCCUUUACAAAUCAUAUUGACAUGUUAAUACUCAAUGAGGAGAUAAAAAGAAGAGCUACUGGAUUAUGUUCCUAAUAGCAAGGACUUCAACAUUUCACUUUGCACACGGUCGACAGUGUUGCCCAUAAAACCUGAAACCUGACCAUCAAUUCUAGCGAUGAACCUUGGCCUAUUUCAGGUUGUGCGACAUUUUAAUUGUAGCUGGGCAUGAAGUUCAUGUUGUUACGGGUGCUCCGGACUUUGGUUUUACUAGCGAGAUUCAGUCUCCCAACCUCCACAUUAGCAAGGUGACAGGACGUGCUGGAUUGUGGAGUUGUGCAAGCUGAUGCAUUGACAGUGGACCGUCUGUCCUCCUUGCAGAAGUACUCCGAGACGACUGUGGUGCGAAGGCCUUCCAUUUUGGCAGCAGAAGUAUCAGAGAAUGAUAUGUUGAUACUUUCAGAGUUCGGAGAUGUUGCCUACUCGCGCACGGUAGCCCGUCGACAGCAUAACUGAAAUCAUGUGGUCGAGUAUUGUCUUCCAGUGCCUCUAUCAUGGCAUUGUCCUCAAAAGCCCUUGCAUUCUUGUCCCCUCUUUAACCUUAUUGCACAUAAUUUUAGAGGGCGGGGGCCGGAGAGAAAGAGCGUGAUUUUAGAGACGGAAAGUGGGGCAAACUUUGUAACGGUGGAUCCUUCGAAAGCAACCGGUUAGGUUUGAACGCAUGCGGGCAGCUUUGACCGACCAACCAAUUUGUGCGUGUGUGCUGGUGUCACAGCCAAUCAAGCGGAGCCCUUCAGGAACCAAGUUAGAGGGAAGGGUUAUUUGCGCAUAUACACCUUAGAUCACGGGUAUUGUCGAAACCACCCCUCAAAUCUUAGUAUUUGUAAAACUAUCCCAUGAACCAU